RNAcentral lists this ribosomal RNA (239 nucleotides) under Salmonella enterica subsp. enterica serovar Adelaide. RNAcentral's name for it is "partial 16S ribosomal RNA". It matches the Rfam family "Bacterial small subunit ribosomal RNA", at positions 1 to 236 of the family's 1533-position model. The record is from RNAcentral. Lineage: Bacteria; Pseudomonadati; Pseudomonadota; Gammaproteobacteria; Enterobacterales; Enterobacteriaceae. RNAcentral also lists the same sequence under 1 other name.
AAAUUGAAGAGUUUGAUCAUGGCUCAGAUUGAACGCUGGCGGCAGGCCUAACACAUGCAAGUCGAACGGUAACAGGAAGCAGCUUGCUGCUUUGCUGACGAGUGGCGGACGGGUGAGUAAUGUCUGGGAAACUGCCUGAUGGAGGGGGAUAACUACUGGAAAUGGUGGCUAAUACCGCAUAACGUCGCAAGACCAAAGAGGGGGACCUUCGGGCCUCUUGCCAUCAGAUGUGCCCAGAU